CCACAGGCAUUAUUGGACCCCACAGAUGCUGGGUGCGAAGUGGGGGCAAGUCCCGGUGAGAGUCGGCGGAGACUCCCCAGUGGAAAGACCCUGCGUGGCCAGAACAGGAUGAAGGGGAAGGAUCUUGAAAAUGUGAGUUGGACUGCGUCAUCCCCGCCCCUGCCUCAAAGCCCCUCCGUGGUUGCCUACAGCACAGCUUCAAGCUCCUUGGUUCUGCUUCCCGGACCUGCAGCGCUGGCCCCAGCCUGGCCGAGAGAGCGUUUGUUCACCCAAGACCUUUCUCCUCCUGCCCUCGUGGAGCCUCCACACGGAGUAAACAACGACUUCUCUGAGCCUUGAUCGCUCUGUUUGUAACAUGCAGAGAAAACGCCUUCCUAGCUGAGCAGUAGGAUUGGGGGCCGCCGCCUGCUCAGCCCGGGCCUGGGUGCAGGCACAGGAAGUGUCUUUCUUCUGCUCUGUGAGCCCAUCUUCUCAAGGGUGGGUCCAUGCUUUCUCCAUUUCAGCGUCCCUCACAGCAUCAACUCUAUGCCUUGCAGACAGCGGACACGUAAUACAGCCAUGCAGCGUGAACCUGAGCAGACCUCUCUUUUCCAGGAUGUGCAUGGUGUCCAUGACAGUGCCCACCGCACUGUGGGCCCACCGCACGCCUGAUGGCCUCACCAGAGACAUAAAGCAGAUGCCAGGAAACGUCCCCCAAACGGGCCGGCUUGCUAAGCCCAGGACCGCCUGUCCAGCUGGGGUUGGGGGCAAGGAUCCCAUUUUCUGUGGCUCUUUUUGCUCUGAUGGUCAGGUUUGCCGGCUGUACGUGUAAUCUGAAGCAUUCGGUAGCGAUCUAAUUAAAUGUUAACACAUCAUUAAAGUGAUUUGCGAUAAGCACAGUUAACAGUUUGAUAAAUCCAGUCCGGGCUGACUCCAUGCUGAAAACAAUCACUCCCAAUCAGGAGUGGGCUGUUGACAUCCGCUGAAUGUUGAGGGGACCUCCGUACAGCUGCCAUGUGCCCAGCCCCGGCGUCGGUGCCCAGGGACGCUAGAAGGGCUGUGUGCGGAUGUGAGGUGCUGUGAUGGGGUGGGGGCAGCAGUUAAUCCCAGGGCCGCUGGUGUCUGGGUGUCCCAGCAGCAGCCUGCACCCCUUGCAUGGGAUUAAGGAAGAUCUUGGUUAACGCUUUGUAAUGAAGGCGGCCUCCCGGUUGAAGGCUGUGAAUUAUUGCUUGUUAAUGGGAUUAAUUGCCUUGGGAAGUAACUCUGCAUUUCUGUGCAUCUGGUGAUGUGGGCAGAGGGAUAGGAGUUAUUUUUGUUUGAAUAUCAAUACCGU
This 1312-nucleotide long non-coding RNA is filed under the name Papio anubis (olive baboon). RNAcentral describes it as "lncRNA (ENSPANG00000048616.1)". Lineage: Eukaryota; Metazoa; Chordata; Mammalia; Primates; Cercopithecidae. The record is from RNAcentral.